UACGGAGGAUCCAAGCGUUGUCCGGAUUUAUUGGGUUUAAAGGGUGCGUAGGCGGUUUGAUAAGUCAGUGGUUAAAGACUCUUGCUCAACGAGAGGGAUGCCAUUGAUACUGUCAGACUUGAGUAUUGUAGAGGUAGGCGGAAUUGGUAGUGUAGCGGUGAAAUGCAUAGAUACUACCAGGAACACCGAUUGCGAAGGCAGCUUACUGGGCAAUAACUGACGCUGAGGCACGAAAGCGUGGGGAGCGAACAGG
Molecule: ribosomal RNA, 253 nt
Filed under: uncultured bacterium
Lineage: Bacteria
Description: partial 16S ribosomal RNA
Rfam family: Bacterial small subunit ribosomal RNA
Source: RNAcentral